GGAAGAAUAUAAAUAUGUGUGCAUAAUACAUCCAAUGGGACAUCAAAUGUAUGAAGAAUGGCUCUGACAACAAAGAGUCUUCCAGAAGAACCAACAUCGUUUGAAAAGUAUGUGCUUUGCUUUCGGCUUCGUGCAUUACUAUUUCACUCCUUUUACCUCUUACAAGAUUUCAAUAGACCAUCUAUAGGCACAAACAUCCUUUCACUUCUACAAGGGUAAAGAGGUAUUGUUAGACGAAGAUAAAGAUAAAGGAC
RNAcentral lists this long non-coding RNA (254 nucleotides) under Phaseolus vulgaris (common bean). Its description in RNAcentral is "long non-coding RNA (PVUL_LNC000165)". Lineage: Eukaryota; Viridiplantae; Streptophyta; Magnoliopsida; Fabales; Fabaceae. The record is from RNAcentral.